AACUUUCGACAAUGGAUCUCUUGGUUCUGGCAUCGAUGAAGAACGCAGCGAAAUGCGAUAAGUAAUGUGAAUUGCAGAGUUCAGUGAAUCAUCGAAUCUUUGAACGCACAUUGCGCCCGUUAGUAUUCUGACGGGCAUGCCUGUCCGAGCGUCAUUUAAACCCUUAAGCCCAGCUUAGCGUUGGCGGAUUGCUGCGCCCAGCGCUGCAACCGCCCAAAUCCAUUGGCGGUCCCGCCGCGGCUCCCUUGCGUAGUAACUCACCUCGCACCGGGCCCGGGGGGCGACCCGCCGUAAAACCCCCACUAUAACAAGGUUGACCUCGGAUCAGGUAGGAAUACCCGCUGAACUUAAGCAUAUCAAUAAGCGGAGGCU
This 372-nucleotide unclassified non-coding RNA is filed under the name uncultured fungus. RNAcentral's name for it is "sequence contains ITS2". The stretch from base 1 to 154 matches the Rfam family "5.8S ribosomal RNA". The record is from RNAcentral. Lineage: Eukaryota; Fungi.